Molecule: non-coding RNA, 62 nt
Filed under: Spinacia oleracea (spinach)
Lineage: Eukaryota; Viridiplantae; Streptophyta; Magnoliopsida; Caryophyllales; Amaranthaceae
Description: Li+-I sequence
Rfam family: nhaA-I RNA
About the family: Acidobacteria, Alphaproteobacteria, Betaproteobacteria and Gammaproteobacteria, Verrucomicrobia, cand. division NC10. Downstream gene
Source: RNAcentral
GGGUGCGGUGUCGCAUAUCGCGCAUUGCAGGGUAAAUUCAAGCGUUGGUCGGGCCGCCAUCG